Molecule: long non-coding RNA, 1210 nt
Filed under: Felis catus (domestic cat)
Lineage: Eukaryota; Metazoa; Chordata; Mammalia; Carnivora; Felidae
Description: lncRNA (ENSFCAG00000050815.1)
Source: RNAcentral
AUAAUAUCUGGUUUCUUUAUGUACGUAAAAAUCAGAUUUAAAAUUCAAAGCUGGGGCACCUGGGUGGCGCAGUCGGUUGAGCGUCCGACUUCAGCCAGGUCAUGAUCUCACGGUCCGUGAGUUCGAGCCCCGCGUAGGCUCUGGGCUGAUGGCUCAGAGCCUGGAGCCUGUUUCCGAUUCUGUGUCUCCCUCUCUCUCUGCCCCUCCCCCAUUCAUGCUCUGUCUCUCUCUGUCCCAAAAAUAAAUAAACGUUGAAAAAAAAAAUUUUUUUUAAUUCAAAGCUGGGGGUACUACUCAGCAAAGAAUGGACUACCUCACAUGCAUGGAUGUGUCUCACGAGUGAGACAGAAACCAGACAUGAUAGAGAACAUGGUGUGUGAUUCCUUAAAGUACCAAUGCAGGCAAAACUAAUCUCUGAGGUCAGAAGUCAGAAGAGUGGCUGGCUAUCUUGGGAGGGCGUAUCCUGCUGGUAGUGGGGUACAAGGGAGCCUUCUGGGUCACUGGAAAGGUUAUGAUUCCUGAUCAGGGUGUUAGUUACAUGGGUGGAUAUAUUUUGUGAGAAGUCAUGAUUGCAACUUUGGUGUGUGUGUGUGUGUGUUGUGUGUGUGUGUGUUAUAAUUCAAUUAAAAAAAUUGCUUAAAAAAAUUACAAAACUCGCCCUUCGAGGAUAUCUACUGAAAUCCAUAUGUUUAAAAUUAAGAAAAACAUGAGGCAGCAGAAAAUGAGAAGUUAGAGCUACGGCUUGAUUUCUGUUUUGUAUUCAUUUUACUCACCCGAAAGCUGCUCAAACAUCUGCUUUGGUCAGAGCUGUUGUAAAAGUGAUGGAAUCAAAAUUCCAAUCAGCUUUAUUUCAAAGGGGAUUUGACGGAAUCACACAGUCUAAGGAAAUGUUGAAAAACCACAUCUGGGAAAGAGCAGGGAUGCAGGCCAGUCUCAGGAAUGACCAAAGUCAGGUUCUCAAAGAGCAGGAGGACACUCUCCCUCGUCUCUGCGGCUCUGUCUGUACUAGAUUAGUUUCUUAUUCCAUGAAGCUCUGAAAGAUGGAAGAAAACUAGACCCAGUAUUUUAACAGAUCUUUCAUUUGAUUCUAUAUUUAAAGACAAUUAAAAGGCAUUUCUGAAUAAUGUCUCAGUACUGAAUCCUAGAAAAAGGGGCACAAUGAGUAUACAUAUUUGAAUGAGCAUUUAAAAUAAAUUAUUUUAAAGUUUCA